UGGUUCAGUGGUAGAAUUCUUGCCUUCCAUGCAGGAGACCUAGGUUUCAUUCCCAG
RNAcentral lists this transfer RNA (56 nucleotides) under Loxodonta africana (African savanna elephant). It matches the Rfam family "tRNA", at positions 8 to 63 of the family's 71-position model. Rfam says of the family: Transfer RNA (tRNA) molecules are approximately 80 nucleotides in length. Their secondary structure includes four short double-helical elements and three loops (D, anti-codon, and T loops). Lineage: Eukaryota; Metazoa; Chordata; Mammalia; Proboscidea; Elephantidae. The record is from Rfam by way of RNAcentral.